CUGGCAUUUGGAAGGAGAGCAGUGAGUCAGGCUGUGCCAAGACAGGUGGAUCCUGUAGAGCAGGAAAUCUUCUCAGUUAGUUUCUGGUUUCUUGGAACUGUCGGAGAGUCAGAAUGUGGAAGAGUCCUUGGAAAGCACCAAAACAGGGGAUGAGGAGCAAUGCAAUGCAGAAAAAGGUCACGUUUCACCUAAAGAAGAACUGUUUCAAAGGU
Molecule: long non-coding RNA, 212 nt
Organism: Polypterus senegalus (gray bichir)
Lineage: Eukaryota; Metazoa; Chordata; Cladistia; Polypteriformes; Polypteridae
Exons: 3
Source: RefSeq, a predicted model, not a curated record